Non-coding RNA from Enterococcus haemoperoxidus ATCC BAA-382, 171 nucleotides. The record is from Rfam. Lineage: Bacteria; Bacillati; Bacillota; Bacilli; Lactobacillales; Enterococcaceae.
AAAUAGAUUUGUUAGGUGAGGCUCCUAUACAAACACAGGCUACUGCCCAAAAACAUCGAGAGAUGCCAAUGGGUAGAACAGGGAUUGUCGAUUACAAGGCUUUUCAUAAGGUAGCUAAAAGCUCUGCUUUUUACGUUGUAUAGUGCCAAAACUCAACGACUAGAUCAUGCA